GCUACACACGUGCUACAAUGGUCGGUACAAAGGGUUGCCAAGCCGCGAGGUGGAGCUAAUCUCAAAAACCGAUCGUAGUCCGGAUCGCAGUCUGCAACUCGACUGCGUGAAGUCGGAAUCGCUAGUAAUCGCGAAUCAGAAUGUCGCGGUGAAUACGUUCCCGGGCCUUGUACACACCGCCCGUCACACCAUGGGAGUGGUGCACCA
RNAcentral lists this ribosomal RNA (207 nucleotides) under Pseudomonas sp. RNAcentral's name for it is "partial 16S ribosomal RNA". It matches the Rfam family "Bacterial small subunit ribosomal RNA", at positions 1213 to 1420 of the family's 1533-position model. The record is from RNAcentral. Lineage: Bacteria; Pseudomonadati; Pseudomonadota; Gammaproteobacteria; Pseudomonadales; Pseudomonadaceae.